GAUGAAGAACGUAGCGAAAUGCGAUAAGUAGUGUGAAUUGCAGAAUUCAGUGAAUCAUCGAAUCUUUGAACGCACAUUGCGCCCCUUGGUAUCCCGAGGGGCAUGCCUGUUCGAGCGUCAUUAUAACCCCUCAAGCUCAGCUUGGUGUUGGGGCCUGCUGCACUGGCAGCCCUUAAAAUCAGUGGCGGCGCCAUCUGGCUCUAAGCGUAGUAAUUCUUCUCGCUAUGGAGUCCUGGUGGAUGCUUGCCAUCAACCCCCAAUUUUUCUAUGGUUGACCUCGGAUCAGGUAGGGAUACCCGCUGAACUUAAGCAUAUCAAUAAGCGGAGGA
This 329-nucleotide unclassified non-coding RNA is filed under the name soil metagenome. RNAcentral describes it as "partial contains 5.8S ribosomal RNA, internal transcribed spacer 2, and large subunit ribosomal RNA". The stretch from base 1 to 120 matches the Rfam family "5.8S ribosomal RNA", at positions 35 to 154 of the family's 154-position model. The record is from RNAcentral.